AGCAAAUAGGGUUUCAUCUUCUUCAACACACUUCUCAUCUCCAUCUCAAAGGGCUGAUUUCCUUCAAUCAGCUUCCUCCCCGUCAUUCUUCUCUACCUAUCCAUUACGUUUGGGAGUUAAUUAGUGGUAAGGGUACACACAGUUUUUCGGAUGAAUCGAAGGUGUAUUUUGUUAGAUUCAAAAUACAAUCGAUUCUCAUCUUCAUUUUCAAGAUCUAAAAAAUGGGAUGGCCUUAGAAGAUGAUUGCAAAAGGCUUCAUCUGGAUUUUUAAAGUAUAAAUGGUUCAGAUCUAAAAACGCGAUGGCCUGAAAAGACGACGGUAAAAAGGUUCACUUGGAUUUAAUUUUGUUCAAUUCUGAGGAUUGCAUCAAGACACUUGACGUCGGCGAAACAACCACCGCCAAAUCGAAAGGUCGCAACUUUAUCUAAUUCGUAAACAAAAACCGGUCGGUGAUUUUCCGUCUAAGACCAGGGCUCCAACAGAGAGACGGUUCGGUGGCUGGAUCGGGAAGUCGUCGUCGAUGAUUCAUCAGCGGCUAGGGUUUGAUUGUAAUUUGCUAUGUAUCGUCAAUUCAUCUUCGUUUUGUUCACUGUAUCAUCAGAUUGUCUCAUUCCAUUUACGAUAAAUCAAAGGUCAUUGUUGGCUGCGCUUCAAUUUCUAAUGCAAUUAUAACUUUUGAUACAGUUAUAAUUAACUAUGAAAGUGUCCAAAGUGUGUUUGAUCCUUGUGAGUAUGAUAGAUUGAGUUUUGGAGGUGAUUCAAUGCAUCAAGAUGGAGAUAGUGAAGCUCAUAGUAAGGUGUGAAGAAAUGAUAACCACAUACGCCUACGACGACUCACUUGCAACGGUAGACAAGAUGCACUCCGCCACUGACCAACCAAAGCUCAUGUCACUAACCAUCAAACCUGAUCGCUAAGUUGCAAUAAACAGUGUUUUGGAACCUUAGCAUUACCACCAAGUACCCCAGCGUCUCAAUCACAUGAUGCUACCAGCUUCCAAUCCCUGACACAAAUAAAUCAGUGAGCACAAAUGGUUUAAAAUUGAGUACUUCGAAUGAACUUGCAUACGAGGAAGGGUUUACGCUCUACAAUCCCAAAGCAGACUCAUCUGAAGCUCGCAUAACUGCUCGAGUGUUGCUGGCAACAUAACCUGACAUUGAGAUGCAACUUCACCGAAAUUCUCGACAAAUUAAAGAAAUUAUUAGGAAAAGAGGGGACAGUUGACCGUCGAAUGUUAACUUC
This 1241-nucleotide long non-coding RNA is filed under the name Helianthus annuus (common sunflower). Lineage: Eukaryota; Viridiplantae; Streptophyta; Magnoliopsida; Asterales; Asteraceae. The record is from RNAcentral.